UACGUAGGGGGCAAGCGUUGUCCGGAUUCAUUGGGCGUAAAGAGCGUGUAGGCGGCCAGGUAGGUCGGUUGUGAAAACUGGAGGCUCAACCUUCAGACGUCGACCGAAACCAUCUGGCUAGAGUCCGGGAGAGGAGAGUGGAAUUCCUGGUGUAGCGGUGAAAUGCGCAGAUAUCAGGAGGAACACCGGUGGCGAAGGCGGCAUCCUGGACCGGCAUUGACGCUGAGGCGCGAAAGCCAGGGGAGCAAACGGG
Molecule: ribosomal RNA, 253 nt
Filed under: uncultured bacterium
Lineage: Bacteria
Description: partial 16S ribosomal RNA
Rfam family: Bacterial small subunit ribosomal RNA
Source: RNAcentral